Molecule: ribosomal RNA, 300 nt
Filed under: Triticum aestivum (bread wheat)
Lineage: Eukaryota; Viridiplantae; Streptophyta; Magnoliopsida; Poales; Poaceae
Description: partial small subunit ribosomal RNA
Source: RNAcentral
AUGGCAACACAGGAGGAACCGAACAGAACCCGCCAGGGCAAGGAACUUGUGGAAGAACUCUUGGGUCGAUUGGAGCUUCAGGAGGAUGAGGAGGAGCACUUUGUCUGGGAGGAGGAAUUCAAGGAGGAGAAGAUCGAGGCCGAGUGGCUUGCGAUCGCGAAGGUGCACACAAAUAAGGGUUUCAACCCCUCUGCUCUCUAUGAUGAUAUGAGAUCGGUGUGGAAUCCAGCCAGGGAGGUCUGUUGGCGAAGAGUAGAUGACAAUCUGUUCACGGUACAGUUCGGAUGCCUGGGGGACUGG